Molecule: non-coding RNA, 88 nt
Organism: Mycena metata
Lineage: Eukaryota; Fungi; Basidiomycota; Agaricomycetes; Agaricales; Mycenaceae
Source: the annotation of a GenBank genome assembly
GGUUGCAUGGGGUAGAGGUUAUCCCUCCAGAUUUUGACUUUGUCAUGUAUAUCUUCUGGCGACCCCGGUUCGAUCCCGGGUGCGACCU